AUGAAUCUUCUUUGUUUGAACUGUCGGGGCUGUGGGCGGCCUGAGACAGUUCAAAAGAUCAGUGGCUUGAUAAAGCUACAUCGCCCAGCUUUGGUCUUUCUCUCGGAGACCAAGCUUAUUGACAAGAGAGCUCAGAAUCUGCGUUUUAAGUUUGGCUUUAGUAAUGCUUUUGGAGUUAAGUGUGAGGGUUUAAGUGGAGGUUUGGUGCUCUUUUGGAACUCUGACUCGGUUGUUUCUCUCAAGUCAUUCAACAAAAAUCACAUUGAUGUGAUGGUGGUUAAUGAGGACAUGGGGGAAAGACAAUGGCAUUUCACGGGCUUUUAUGGUGAACCAGCUAGAUCGAGGAGGAAACGGUGUUGGGAAUUGAUGAAAUAUCUACGACGGGAGUAUGAUAAUCCAUGGAUUUGUGCAGGUGAUUUUAACGAAUUUCUUACUACGAAUGCAUGA
Molecule: ribosomal RNA, 447 nt
Filed under: Triticum aestivum (bread wheat)
Lineage: Eukaryota; Viridiplantae; Streptophyta; Magnoliopsida; Poales; Poaceae
Description: partial small subunit ribosomal RNA
Source: RNAcentral